AAACCGUUGAAAGGGAAGCGAAUGGAGUUAGCAAUUCGCCUCGCCAGAUUCAGUCGCUCGCGUUCCGCGGCGCGCGUGUUCUCGAUCUUCGUAGACGAGACGCGUGCGCUCGCGGGACGGGGACGGCGCACUUCUGGCGGGCGAGCGUCAACGUCGGUUGUCGGCGUGCUACAAGGCCGCGAGGAAGGUGCGCCGCCCUACGGGGCGGUAGUUAUAGCCUCGUGAGCGCAUGGCAUGCCGGCGACCGUGGAACGUCGCGACGCGUGCCUCCCCUCGUCGGGGGGCUGGGGUCUUGUUCCGUCGAUCCGGUUGUCGACUGUGGCGGACGGCACGCCUGUGCGCUCGAACCGCUGCCGGUCGCCGGGGCGAUGAUCACACACCACGCGUCGAGGACGUUGACGACCAUACGGCUCCAUCCGACCCGUCUUGAAACACGGACCAAGGAGUCUAACAUGUGCGCGAGUCUCCGGGUGAUCGAAACCUGUGGGCGCAAUGAAAGUAAAGGCGGCUCGCGCCGCUGAGGUGAGAAGCACGCCGCCACGCGACGUGCCGCAUCAUCGACCGACCUGUUCUACUCUUAGAAAGGUUUGAGUAAGAGCGUACCUGUUGGGACCCGAAAGAUGGUGAACUAUGCCUGAAUAGGGUGAAGCCAGCGGAAACACUGGUGGAAGCUCGUAGCGAUUCUGACGUGCAAAUCGAUCGUCGAAUUUGGGUAUAGCGGCGAAAGACUAAUCGAACCAUCUAGUAGCUGGUUCCCUCCGAAGUUUCCCUUAGGAUAGCUGGAGCUCGGAUGCAGU
This 797-nucleotide ribosomal RNA is filed under the name Parasphaerasclera valdiviae. RNAcentral describes it as "eukaryotic LSU rRNA". It matches the Rfam family "Eukaryotic large subunit ribosomal RNA", at positions 402 to 999 of the family's 3401-position model. The record is from RNAcentral. Lineage: Eukaryota; Metazoa; Cnidaria; Anthozoa; Scleralcyonacea; Parasphaerascleridae.